This 497-nucleotide ribosomal RNA is filed under the name uncultured bacterium. Its description in RNAcentral is "partial 16S ribosomal RNA". It matches the Rfam family "Bacterial small subunit ribosomal RNA", at positions 28 to 507 of the family's 1533-position model. The record is from RNAcentral.
GAUGAACGCUGGCGGCGUGCCUAAUACAUGCCAGUCGAGCGAACGGACGAGAAGCUUGCUUUUCUGAUGUUAGCGGCGGACGGGUGAGUAACACGUGGAUAACCUACCUAUAAGACUGGGAUAACUUCGGGAAACCGGAGCUAAUACCGGAUAAUAUUUUGAACCGCAUGGUUCAAAAGUGAAAGACGGUCUUGCUGUCACUUAUAGAUGGAUCCGCGCUGCAUUAGCUAGUUGGUAAGGUAACGGCUUACCAAGGUAACGAUGCAUAGCCGACCUGAGAGGGUGAUCGGCCACACUGGAACUGAGACACGGUCCAGACUCCUACGGGAGGCAGCAGUAGGGAAUCUUCCGCAAUGGGCGAAAGCCUGACGGAGCAACGCCGCGUGAGUGAUGAAGGUCUUCGGAUCGUAAAACUCUGUUAUUAGGGAAGAACAUAUGUGUAAGUAACUGUGCACAUCUUGACGGUACCUAAUCAGAAAGCCACGGCUAACUACGUG